CCUACGGGAGGCAGCAGUGAGGAAUAUUGGUCAAUGGACGCAAGUCUGAACCAGCCAUGCCGCGUGCAGGAAGACGGCUCUAUGAGUUGUAAACUUCUUUUGUACGAGGAUAAACGCAGAUACGCGUAUCUGUCUGCAAGUAUCUUACGAAUAAGGAUCGGCUAACUCCGUGCCAGCAGCCGCGGUAAUACGGAGGAUGCAAGCGUUAUCCGGAUUUAUUGGGUUUAAAGGGGGCGUAGGCGGUCGGUUAAGUUAGUGGUGAAAUCCCGAGGCUCAACCUCGGAAUUGCCUUUGAUACUGGUCGGCUCGAGGGUAGUUGCGGUAGGCGGAAUGUAUGGUGUAGCGGUGAAAUGCUUAGAGAUCAUACAGAACACCGAUUGCGAAGGCAGCUUACCAAGCUACUACUGACGUUGAGGCACGAAAGCGUGGGGAGCAAACAGGAUUAGAUACCCUGGUAGUC
RNAcentral lists this ribosomal RNA (460 nucleotides) under uncultured bacterium. RNAcentral's name for it is "partial 16S ribosomal RNA". It matches the Rfam family "Bacterial small subunit ribosomal RNA", at positions 338 to 795 of the family's 1533-position model. The record is from RNAcentral.